This 502-nucleotide ribosomal RNA is filed under the name uncultured bacterium. RNAcentral's name for it is "bacterial SSU rRNA". It matches the Rfam family "Bacterial small subunit ribosomal RNA", at positions 32 to 514 of the family's 1533-position model. The record is from RNAcentral.
UCAACGCUGGCGGCGUGCCUAACACAUGCAAGUCGAACACGGUUAUUCCGCAAGGGAUAACUGAGUGGCGAACGGGUGAGUAACACGUGGGUGACCUACCUUCGAAUGGGGGAUAACGUCCCGAAAGGGACGCUAAUACCGCAUAACAUCCCGCCUUUGAACAGGCGGACAUCAAAGCUGGGGAUCGCAAGACCUGGCGUUUGAAGAGGGGCCCGCGUCUGAUUAGCUAGUUGGUGGGGUAACGGCUCACCAAGGCGACGAUCAGUAUCCGGCCUGAGAGGGCGGACGGACACACUGGGACUGAGACACGGCCCAGACUCCUACGGGAGGCAGCAGUGGGGAAUUGUUCACAAUGGGCGCAAGCCUGAUGACGCAACGCCGCGUGAGGGAUGAAGGUCUUCGGAUUGUAAACCUCUGUCACCGGGGAAGAAACGCUUUGAGGUAAUACUUCAAAGCCUGACUUAACCCGGAGAGGAAGCAGUGGCUAACUCUGUGCCAGCAG